Molecule: long non-coding RNA, 171 nt
Organism: Juglans microcarpa x Juglans regia
Lineage: Eukaryota; Viridiplantae; Streptophyta; Magnoliopsida; Fagales; Juglandaceae
Exons: 3
Source: RefSeq, a predicted model, not a curated record
UGGAUGUUGUUUUGAUUAAUUACUUGUUGAGAUGUCAUAAUCUCAUUGUAGUGUUUUACCCUACGGUUCCGUCUUAUGGUACUGUAGAGUCUGACGCAGAGCCCGAGUAUGAACCCGAGAGAUCAGCUCCGCCGGAGGUUUGAGUUGCUGAUAUAUUAUUCAUCAUUUUUG